RNAcentral lists this ribosomal RNA (403 nucleotides) under Shinella sp. RNAcentral's name for it is "bacterial SSU rRNA". It matches the Rfam family "Bacterial small subunit ribosomal RNA", at positions 355 to 775 of the family's 1533-position model. Lineage: Bacteria; Pseudomonadati; Pseudomonadota; Alphaproteobacteria; Hyphomicrobiales; Rhizobiaceae. The record is from RNAcentral.
UGGGGAAUAUUGGACAAUGGGCGCAAGCCUGAUCCAGCCAUGCCGCGUGAGUGAUGAAGGCCCUAGGGUUGUAAAGCUCUUUCACCGGUGAAGAUAAUGACGGUAACCGGAGAAGAAGCCCCGGCUAACUUCGUGCCAGCAGCCGCGGUAAUACGAAGGGGGCUAGCGUUGUUCGGAAUUACUGGGCGUAAAGCGCACGUAGGCGGGUAUUUAAGUCAGGGGUGAAAUCCCGGAGCUCAACUCCGGAACUGCCUUUGAUACUGGGUACCUAGAGUAUGGAAGAGGUAAGUGGAAUUCCGAGUGUAGAGGUGAAAUUCGUAGAUAUUCGGAGGAACACCAGUGGCGAAGGCGGCUUACUGGUCCAUAACUGACGCUGAGGUGCGAAAGCGUGGGGAGCAAACAG